Long non-coding RNA from Drosophila persimilis, 809 nucleotides. RefSeq lists it as uncharacterized. NCBI's taxonomy places the organism in Eukaryota, Metazoa, Arthropoda, Insecta, Diptera, Drosophilidae. The transcript has 4 exons. The record is from RefSeq and is a predicted model, not a curated record.
AUUUUAAAAAAGUGAAAAAUAAUUUCCGGACUAUUAAAAAAAAAAAUAAUCAAACAAAAAUAAACUAAAUUACACUAAAAAUGAUUCUCAAAAUAAGAUACAGGAUCCGCUGAUCCUUGUUUCUGUACAGGCCUGUUCCACAGAUGGAUGAAAGGAGAGGAAGAUACCUCCAGGCACCCACACCCACACCACCACACCGCACGCACACAUUCGCAAUCGAACUCGAACUCGUCAACGCUUUUGCACAACUAUACUAUUGCAGGAUGGAACCGGCCGAAGGCACAGGGGAUGGCAUCCUGGACAAGAGCUUCAUUGGGCAGAUAAACCAAGAAGCGAACUAUAAGCAGCCUCUACCUUGGUAUUGAAGGCUCUGCUGUCGAUGCCAUCGGCACAGGAUCCGCUGAUCCUUGUUUCUGUACAGGCCUCUUCCACAGAUGGAUGAAAGGAGAGGAAGAUACCUCCAGGCACCCACACCCACACCACCACACCGCACGCACACAUUCGCAAUCGAACUCGAACUCGAACUCGUCGCUUUUGCACAACUAUACUAUUGCAGGAUGGAACCGGCCGAAGGCACAGGGGAUUGCAUCCUGGACAAGAGCUUCAUUGGGCAGAUAAACCAAGAAGCGAACUAUAAGCAGCCUCUACCUUGGUAUUGAAGGCUCUGCUGUCGAUGGCAUCGGCACUCGACACUGUGGGCUCUGGUCUCGGCUCUGAAUAUCGUGGAUCACAUUAAGAAACAACAACAAAUCAACAGGGAUUAUUGCCAGCACAGAACACCAAUCGACACAUUUUAUCGACUUUGUUUA